GACGAACGCUGGCGGCGUGCCUAAUACAUGCAAGUAGAACGCUGAAGGAGGAGCUUGCUCUUCUGGAUGAGUUGCGAACGGGUGAGUAACGCGUAGGUAACCUGCCUGGUAGCGGGGGAUAACUAUUGGAAACGAUAGCUAAUACCGCAUAACAGUAGAUGUUGCAUGACAUUUGCUUAAAAGGUGCAAUUGCACCACUACCAAAUGGACCUGCGUUGUAUUAGCUAGUUGGUGGGGUAACGGCUCACCAAGGCGACGAUACAUAGCCGACCUGAGAGGGUGAUCGGCCACACUGGGACUGAGACACGGCCCAGACUCCUACGGGAGGCAGCAGUAGGGAAUCUUCGGCAAUGGACGGAAGUCUGACCGAGCAACGCCGCGUGAGUGAAGAAGGUUUUCGGAUCGUAAAGCUCUGUUGUAAGAGAAGAACGAGUGUGAGAGUGGAAAGUUCACACUGUGACGGUAUCUUACCAGAAAGGGACGGCUAACUACGUG
RNAcentral lists this ribosomal RNA (495 nucleotides) under uncultured bacterium. RNAcentral describes it as "partial 16S ribosomal RNA". It matches the Rfam family "Bacterial small subunit ribosomal RNA", at positions 28 to 507 of the family's 1533-position model. The record is from RNAcentral.